ACACACCGCCCGUCAAACCAUGAGAGUCGGCAACACCCGAAGUCGGUAGUCUAACCGCAAGGAGGACGCCGCCGAAGGUGGGGUUGAUGAUUAGGGUUAAGUCGUAACAAGGUAAC
RNAcentral lists this ribosomal RNA (116 nucleotides) under uncultured bacterium. Its description in RNAcentral is "partial 16S ribosomal RNA". It matches the Rfam family "Bacterial small subunit ribosomal RNA", at positions 1385 to 1500 of the family's 1533-position model. The record is from RNAcentral.